UUUUCGUAGGUGAACCUGCGGAAGGAUCAUUAUUGAAGCAUAAGAGCGCACUUCAUCGUGGCUCGACCCUUCAUAUCCACCCACACUGUGCACUGUAUACCUUUUUUUAGACUCUAACAAGUCAAAGGAUGUACUACUUUAAUAAAGUAACAAAACUUUCAACAACGGAUCUCUUGGUUCUCGCAUCGAUGAAGAACGCAGC
RNAcentral lists this unclassified non-coding RNA (202 nucleotides) under uncultured fungus. RNAcentral describes it as "sequence contains ITS1, 5.8S rRNA gene". The stretch from base 154 to 202 matches the Rfam family "5.8S ribosomal RNA", at positions 1 to 49 of the family's 154-position model. The record is from RNAcentral. Lineage: Eukaryota; Fungi.